This 227-nucleotide long non-coding RNA is filed under the name Lathyrus oleraceus (garden pea). RNAcentral's name for it is "Pisum sativum (pea) long non-coding RNA (PSAT_LNC037268)". The record is from RNAcentral. Lineage: Eukaryota; Viridiplantae; Streptophyta; Magnoliopsida; Fabales; Fabaceae.
UAGACAUCAUGAGGAACAACAUGCAAAAAACCACACCUCAUUUGGAUCAUCCAUUAUUGAGUUAUAAAUUUUUGAAUGAAUGAAAAAAAAAUAAAAAAAGACAUGAAAGCAUGGCAUGAAUGGAUAUGGAAGCAAAGAAUAAAAUGAAAAGGCAAUAUGUGGAAAUGUCUCAGCCAAGGAUCGAUCCGUGUGGAAAUUUGAAUUGAGCGCGCCAGUUAAGUGAAACG